RNAcentral lists this transfer RNA (74 nucleotides) under Corynebacterium hindlerae. Its description in RNAcentral is "Corynebacterium sp. NML93-0612 tRNA-Trp". It matches the Rfam family "tRNA". Rfam says of the family: Transfer RNA (tRNA) molecules are approximately 80 nucleotides in length. Their secondary structure includes four short double-helical elements and three loops (D, anti-codon, and T loops). The record is from RNAcentral. Lineage: Bacteria; Bacillati; Actinomycetota; Actinomycetes; Mycobacteriales; Corynebacteriaceae.
GUGCCCUUAGCUCAAUUUGGUAGAGCGCUGGUCUCCAAAACCAGUGGUUGCAGGUUCAAGUCCUGCAGGGUGUG